GGCUUAUCGAAAAUAAUUUUAAGUCAAUCUGCCCAAUGAUAUAAUUUAAAUGGCUGCAGUAUAACUAACUGUACAAAGGUAGCAUAAUCAAUUGUUUUUUAAUUAAAAACUAGAAUGAAAGAAUUAAUGAGAUAUAUACUGUCUCAUAUAUAUAAAAUAAAUUUAAAUUUUUAGUAAAAAUGCUUAAAUUAAUUUAUGGGACGAUAAGACCCUAUAGAAUUUUAUAUUUAUAUUUAAUUUAUUAUUUAAUUAUAAUAUAAAUAUUUAAUUGGGAGGAUUAGUAAAUUUAAAAAACUUUAUUUUUAAAAUAAACUUUAAUUUUAGAAUAUAAAUUUUGAUCUUAUAUUAUAAAUUAAAAAAAUAAAUUACCUUAGGGAUAACAGCGUAAUAUCUUUUUAAAGAUCAUAUUAAUAAAGAUGUUUGCGACCUCGAUGUUGAAUUAAGAUAAAUUUUAGAUGAAGAUAUCUAAUUAUUAAGUCUGUUCGACUUUUAAAAUCUUACAUGAUUUGAGUUCAAAUCGACGUAAGU
This 528-nucleotide ribosomal RNA is filed under the name Bombus remotus. RNAcentral describes it as "partial 16S ribosomal RNA". The stretch from base 376 to 528 matches the Rfam family "Bacterial large subunit ribosomal RNA", at positions 2473 to 2626 of the family's 2925-position model. Lineage: Eukaryota; Metazoa; Arthropoda; Insecta; Hymenoptera; Apidae. The record is from RNAcentral.